GACGAACGCUGGCGGCGUGCUUAACACAUGCAAGUCGAACGAUGAACCCGGAGCUUGCUCCGGCGGAUUAGUGGCGAACGGGUGAGUAACACGUGAGUAACCUGCCCUUGACUCUGGGAUAACUGCUAGAAAUGGUAGCUAAUACCGGAUACGACCCUCGGUGGCAUCACCAGGGGGUGGAAAGAAUUUCGGUCAAGGAUGGACUCGCGGCCUAUCAGCUAGUUGGUGAGGUAACGGCGCACCAAGGCGACGACGGGUAGCCGGCCUGAGAGGGUGACCGGCCACACUGGGACUGAGAUACGGCCCAGACUCCUACGGGAGGCAGCAGUGGGGAAUAUUGCACAAUGGGCGCAAGCCUGAUGCAGCGACGCCGCGUGAGGGAUGACGGCCUUCGGGUUGUAAACCUCUUUCAGCACCGACGAAGCGCAAGUGACGGUAGGUGCAGAAGAAGGACCGGCCAACUACGUGCCAGCCGCCGCUGUAA
Molecule: ribosomal RNA, 484 nt
Filed under: uncultured bacterium
Lineage: Bacteria
Description: partial 16S ribosomal RNA
Rfam family: Bacterial small subunit ribosomal RNA
Source: RNAcentral